AGAGUUUGAUCCUGGCUCAGGAUGAACGCUGGCGGCGUGCCUAACACAUGCAAGUCGAACGAAGCGUUUCGGAGGAAGUUUUCGGAUGGAAUCUGGAAUGACUGAGUGGCGGACGGGUGAGUAACGCGUGGGUAACCUGCCCUGUACUGGGGGACAACAGUUAGAAAUGACUGCUAAUACCGCAUAAGCGCACAGGACCGCAUGGUCCGGUGUGAAAAACUCCGGUGGUACAGGAUGGACCCGCGUCUGAUUAGCCAGUUGGCAGGGUAACGGCCUACCAAAGCAACGAUCAGUAGCCGGCCUGAGAGGGUGGACGGCCACAUUGGGACUGAGACACGGCCCAAACUCCUGCGGGAGGCAGCAGUGGGGGAUAUUGCACAAUGGGGGAAACCCUGAUGCAGCGACGCCGCGUGAGUGAAGGAGCAUUUCGGUGUGUAAAGCUCUAUCAGCAGGGAAGAAGAAUGACGGUACCUGACUAAGAAGCCCCGGCUAACUACGUGCCAGCAGCCGCGGUAAUACGUAGGGGGCAAGCGUUAUCCGGAUUUACUGGGUGUAAAGGGAGCGUAGACGGCAAUGCAAGCCAGAUGUGAAAACCCGCAGCUCAACUGGGGGAGUGCAUUUGGAACUGUGUAGCUGGAGUGCAGGAGAGGUAAGCGGAAUUCCUGGUGUAGCGGUGAAAUGCGUAGAUAUCAGGAGGAACACCAGUGGCGAAGGCGGCUUACUGGACUGUAACUGACGUUGAGGCUCGAAAGCGUGGGGAGCAAACAGGAUUAGAUACCCUGGUAGUCCACGCUGUAAACGAUGAAUACUAGGUGUCGGGGGUU
This 824-nucleotide ribosomal RNA is filed under the name uncultured bacterium. RNAcentral describes it as "bacterial SSU rRNA". It matches the Rfam family "Bacterial small subunit ribosomal RNA", at positions 8 to 831 of the family's 1533-position model. The record is from RNAcentral.